CCAGGCGGCGAAAGCCGACGGAAAGUGGCACAGAAAGGAGACCGCCAGCCGGCGACACGCUCUCUCCGGAGACGCCGGCCGGUAAGGGUGAAAGGGUGGGGUAAGAGCCCACCAGCGUCGUGGUGACACGGCGGCUCGCCAAACCCCGUCCGGUGCAAGGCGAACAGGCCCCGCCACCAGGUGGCCCGCCGAGGGGCCGGGUGCGCUGCUUGAGCCGCCGGGAGACCGGCGGCCCAGAUGGAUGGUCGCCCAAGACAGAAUCCGGCUUACAGGCCUGCUACGGAA
Molecule: RNase P RNA, 285 nt
Filed under: Actinomycetota bacterium
Lineage: Bacteria; Bacillati; Actinomycetota
Description: partial RNase P RNA component class A
Rfam family: Bacterial RNase P class A
About the family: Ribonuclease P (RNase P) is a ubiquitous endoribonuclease, found in archaea, bacteria and eukarya as well as chloroplasts and mitochondria. Its best characterised activity is the generation of mature 5'-ends of tRNAs by cleaving the 5'-leader elements of precursor-tRNAs. Cellular RNase Ps are ribonucleoproteins.
Source: RNAcentral